Long non-coding RNA from Onychomys torridus (southern grasshopper mouse), 2508 nucleotides. RefSeq lists it as uncharacterized. The record is from RefSeq and is a predicted model, not a curated record. The transcript has 3 exons. Lineage: Eukaryota; Metazoa; Chordata; Mammalia; Rodentia; Cricetidae.
GGUGGAACUGCCUGAGGCUUCCUCUAGAGAAAAGAGAGCAGGGGACGCUUUCCAACAGCCUGUCCCCUCAGCUUGCUAAACCUCAGACACACCUAAACUUCAAAGUUCACCCUGUAUGUAGCUCGAGGUGUACCCCUGCACAGCUAGGCCCAGCUCAGUCACCGGAGGCCUCUGGGUGUGGAACCGCAGCAGCAAAGCUGGAGAGGCCUAGAGAAACAGAGGGUGACCUCUCCAUUUGUGGAAAUUAAAAUGUCCUCAAACUCCAAAGAAGACUAUCUCUUUCCCAGUGUGCCAGCCGUCUCCUGUGCGCCACAAGCCCUUGCUGCUUUGAGCUCCUUCAAGUCUGGUGGUUUAUGUUCCUGGAGUUUGCAGGGAGCUAACCUGGUCUCACAGUGUCCUGAAUCUGACAACUCAUGUCAAACAUGGAAGAGCCAAGAAAGUGUCCAACUUCUGAAAGCCGCUUUUACCAGUGUUGAAGGCCGCUUUUACCAGUGUUGAAGGCCUCAUUCUCCGCCAGAGAGGAAAUAUGAGAAGGAUCCUGAGAAUGCCAUGCAGGGAAGAAGAGGGGAAACGCCUCUGUGGCCUCUUCACUGAUGUCUACGCCUUAGACCUGUUCACAGAGGCCAUCACCCCAGAGUCAGCAGAGCCCUCAGGCCGCUAGGGACCGCUCCAGGGUGGCACGUCCCAUCCUCACGGAGGGCGGGACCUGAGAGCCUAGGGUGUCCAGGACGUGGCUCCACCCUGCCUUUCCAUGACGCCGUGCUCCGCGGGAAGGGCCAAGUGCGUGAGGGGCGGGACAGAAGGCGGGGCCAGCACUAGGACAGAAGGACCUGAGCAGACUAAGGGGAGGGCAGGAAGGAGGGAGGGCAUCGCAGAGGAGGGAGGGGCAGAGCAGAGUUAGCUGGGGGCCUGAGUUCCUAAGACCCUGAAAUAGCGCUGGGCUUCCUGAAACCAGUUUGCCUUCCUGAAAGGCAGCACCGAGUCUCGCUCGGUUUGGCGGGAGAAGUGGGAGGUAGGAAUGUCUGUGACCACAGUAGAAGGAACAGAAAUCCCUUUUAUGAACAGGAGAGUGAAUGCUAAACAGUCGGUGGACUUUAGGAGAGCAAUGGCACCACAGUACAGAGAGGAAGGAAAAAAAGAGGACCCACCUUUCCCAGCAAGGGCAGGCACACAGAGAUAGACGGCUGUCACAGGAAUUUGUCAAGAGUUGUGACUCAGUUUAGUUGAAGCCAAAGCAAAGUCCAGACUGUGGGACUGAGCCUACGGACUUCUGCGGUCCCAGACACAAUUUCAAGCGACUUCGUCCACCGGGAGAAUCUAUCCGCCCCCUUGCCUCCCGAAGCGUCUAGAUACAGCAGAGCCUGCCCCUGGGGUCAUCAAGCAAGUGAAAAAGUUCAAUGUGAAUGCAAGACAUCUCCACCCCUCACCCCACCCCACCCCCACCAGGGUGCUCAGGCCGUGUGAAUAAUGGGUGCAGCUGUAUUCUUUCAUAGUGCCAAAAAUGUCCCCAGAUAACCAAGUGGUCAGCCUCUGAGGUCAACUCCCUGUGCCUGCCAGAUCCUUGAGAACUGAUGGAAUCUCCAGACACACCGUGUGGACAUUUAGCUGAGGGCUUUGCCUCCCCUCAUCAUGUCAAUUUCUCAGAGAACCAGACUGGGGCUCGGACCAGGGCACCCAGCCCACAGGCACGGCUGCAGGCUCCUGGAGAGAACCGCAUUGUCCCUUUGUCUCAGCCUGGGAAUGAUGCUCCCACUUGACUCAGCCUGCUACCUUAAGGAGUGGUACUUAAUUAUUUGCACAUCAUCCAGCUAGUCGUCCACGAUAGACAUUACCAUCCUUCAAAAGGUUCAAAGAAGAAAGAGAAAAGAACUGAUACUUCAGGUACACACUCCAAACCUGUCAUUACACAAGAGAGCUUCCCAGCCAUUUCCUGAGCUGGGACAGAGUUGGGAAGUCUAGAGAAUCUACUACAACCACACCCCAAAUCCAGCCCAGGCUAGCCAGAUGCCAGGCUGCUUUCUGCAACUGCCUACAGCCUAUAGAAAAACACCUGCAUCAAGGUAAAAGAUUUUAUUCCAAUAUUAAAUAUAGACAAAGAAAAAAACCAGUUUACAUAUUUUUGCAUGGUAUGGACUGGGGAGUUGGGCUUUCUCCUUUUCCAUCUACCACAUUUACAAACCUCGGCCUGAGCACUGAAAGUGAGCAAUGCAGGUCCAUUUGCUGGUCAUUUUAUCAAUCUGAAGAACAUAAUUUGCAACUCUCUGGGCAGUUGUCCCAUCUCCUCCUUUUAAACAAAUGCAUGCUAGCAGGGCAUGGGAGCAUGCACCUAAUCUUAGCAUUCAGGAGAUGGAAGCACCUCAAGAUUAUCCUCAGCUACAUACCAAGUUUGAAGCUAGGCCACCCAUUGCCUUGAAGCCCUCCAGACACAGCAGAGCCUGUCCCUGGGGCUUCAGGAGAUUGUCUCCAAAAUAAAUAAAUGUCUGUAUUCAAGAGUCCAUCUCAGACACC